CUGGGUCUGGCCGAGCGGUUAGGCGCCGGCUUUGGGAGCCGGAUGACGGGGGUUCGAUCCCCUCGGCCCAGACCA
Molecule: transfer RNA, 75 nt
Filed under: Brevundimonas phage vB_BpoS-Gurke
Lineage: Duplodnaviria; Heunggongvirae; Uroviricota; Caudoviricetes; Jeanschmidtviridae
Description: tRNA-Pro
Rfam family: tRNA
About the family: Transfer RNA (tRNA) molecules are approximately 80 nucleotides in length. Their secondary structure includes four short double-helical elements and three loops (D, anti-codon, and T loops).
Source: RNAcentral